Molecule: ribosomal RNA, 440 nt
Filed under: uncultured bacterium
Lineage: Bacteria
Description: bacterial SSU rRNA
Rfam family: Bacterial small subunit ribosomal RNA
Source: RNAcentral
CCUACGGGAGGCAGCAGUGGGGAAUAUUGCACAAUGGGGGAAACCCUGAUGCAGCAACGCCGCGUGAGCGAUGAAGGCCUUCGGGUCGUAAAGCUCUGUCCUAAGGGAAGAAUACUGACGGUACCCUAGGAGGAAGCCCCGGCGAACUACGUGGCAGCAGCCGCGGUAAUAUGUAGGGGGCUAGCGUUAUCCGGAAUUACUGCGGGUAAAGGGUGCGUAGGCGGCCCUUCAAGUCAGAGGUGAAAGGCUACGGCUCAACCGUAGUAAGCCUUUGAAACUGCAGGGCUUGCGUGCAGGAGAGGAGAGUGCAAUUCCAAGUGUAGCGGUGAAAUGCGUAGAUAUUGGGAGGAACACCAGUUGCGAAGGCGGCUCUCUGGACUGUAACUGACGAUGAGGCACGAAAGCGUGGGGAGCGAACAGGAUUAGAUACCCUAGUAGUC